Molecule: ribosomal RNA, 1542 nt
Filed under: human gut metagenome
Description: bacterial LSU rRNA
Rfam family: Bacterial large subunit ribosomal RNA
Source: RNAcentral
CAAUCGAACCCGGAGAUAGCUGGUUCUCCUCGAAAUAGCUUUAGGGCUAGCCUCGAUUUAGUCUUAUGGAGGUAGAGCACUGAAUUUCCGCGGGGGCGUCAAAGCUUACCAAAGAAUAUCAAACUCCGAAUGCCAUGUAGAUGAUGAAUGGGAGUCAGACUGCACGAGAUAAGUUGGGCAGUCAAAAGGGAAAGAGCCCAGACCACCGGCUAAGGUCCCAAAGUGCGUGUUAAGUGGAAAAGGAUGUGGGAAUUCGAAGACAACUAGGAUGUUGGCUCAGAAGCAGCCAUACAUUCAAAGAGUGCGUAACAGCUCACUAGUCGAGAGUUCCUGCGCCGAAAAUGUCCGGGGCUGAAACACGACACCGAAGCCGUGGACUCGCAAUGCGAGUGGUAGAGGAGCAUUCUUAAAACCGACGAAGCUGUACCGGAAGGAGCAGUGGAGGGAUAAGAAGAGAGAAUGCCGGAAUGAGUAGCGAGAGAAAGGUGAGAAUCCUUUCGGCCGAAUAUCUAAGGUUUCCAGAGUAAAGCUGAUCUGCUCUGGGUAAGUCGGGGCCUAAGCACAGGUCGCAAGACGUAAGCGAUGGAUAACAGGUUUAGAUUCCUGUACCACGCAUUAUCAGAACUGUAGGGACGCAUGUGGAAAGCACGAGCCGGGAAUGGAAAGACCGGUACAAGCGGGGUAGGAGUACAAUAGGCAAAUCCGUUGUAUGAUCCGAAGACGUGAUGUGGAGCGAAAUAAAGUAGUGAAGCGUGUGAGCCAUGUGCCGAGAAAAGCUGCUAUUGUGUAAUGCGUGCCCGUACCGUAAACCGACACAGGUGGAUGAGGAGAGAAUCCUAAGGCCGACGGAAGAAGUAUUGUUAAGGAACUCGGCAAAAUGACCCCGUAACUUCGGGAGAAGGGGUGCCCACGGGAGUGGGCCGCAGAGAAUAGGCUCAAGCAACUGUUUAGCAAAAACACAGGUCUAUGCGAAACCGAAAGGUGAAGUAUAUGGGCUGACGCCUGCCCGGUGCUGGAAGGUUAAGAGGAGAGGUUAGCGCAAGCGAAGCUUUGAAUUUAAGCCCCAGUAAACGGCGGCCGUAACUAUAACGGUCCUAAGGUAGCGAAAUUCCUUGUCGGGUAAGUUCCGACCCGCACGAAAGGCGUAAUGAUUUGAGCGCUGUCUCGACAAUGCAUCCGGUGAAAUUGAAGUACCAGUGAAGAUGCUGGUUACCCGCGCCAGGACGGAAAGACCCCAUGGAGCUUUACUCCAGUUUGAUACUGGGAUUCGGUACUGCAUGUACAGGAUAGGUGGGAGACAAAGAAGGAUGGACGCCAGUCUGUCCGGAGUCGCUGUUGGGAUACCACCCCUGUAGUACUGGGUUUCUAACCAGUUACCAUGAUCUGGUAAUGGGACAAUGUCAGGCGGGGAGUUUGACUGGGGCGGUCGCCUCCGAAAGGGUAUCGGAGGCGCUCAAAGGUUCCCUCAGAAUGGUUGGAAACCAUUUGAAGAGUGCAAAGGCAGAAGGGAGCUUGACUGCGACACCGACGGGUGGAGCAGGU